RNAcentral lists this ribosomal RNA (760 nucleotides) under uncultured Lachnospiraceae bacterium. RNAcentral's name for it is "bacterial SSU rRNA". It matches the Rfam family "Bacterial small subunit ribosomal RNA", at positions 28 to 776 of the family's 1533-position model. Lineage: Bacteria; Bacillati; Bacillota; Clostridia; Lachnospirales; Lachnospiraceae. The record is from RNAcentral.
AUUGAACGCUGGCGGCAGGCUUAACACAUGCAAGUCGAACGGUAGCAGGAGAAAGCUUGCUUUCUUGCUGACGAGUGGCGGACGGGUGAGUAAUGCUUGGGAAUCUGGCCUAUGGAGGGGGGAUAACGACGGGAAACUGUCGCUAAUACCGCGUAUUAUCGGAAGAUGAAAGUGCGGGACUGAGAGGCCGCAUGCCAUAGGAUGAGCCCAAGUGGGAUUAGGUAGUUGGUGGGGUAAAGGCCUACCAAGCCUGCGAUCUCUAGCUGGUCUGAGAGGAUGACCAGCCACACUGGAACUGAGACAUGGUCCAGACUCCUACGGGAGGCAGCAGUGGGGAAUAUUGCGCAAUGGGGGGAACCCUGACGCAGCCAUGCCGCGUGAAUGAAGAAGGCCUUCGGGUUGUAAACUGCUUUUGUACGGAACGAAACGGCCUUUUCUAAUAAAGAGGGCUAAUGACGGUACCGUAAGAAUAAGCACCGGCUAACUACGUGCCAGCAGCCGCGGUAAUACGUAGGGUGCAAGCGUUAAUCGGAAUUACUGGGCGUAAAGCGUGCGCAGGCGGUUAUGUAAGACAGUUGUGAAAUCCCCGGGCUCAACCUGGGAACUGCAUCUGUGACUGCAUAGCUAGAGUACGGUAGAGGGGGAUGGAAUUCCGCGUGUAGCAGUGAAAUGCGUAGAUAUGCGGAGGAACACCGAUGGCGAAGGCAAUCCCCUGGACCUGUACUGACGCUCAUGCACGAAAGCGUGGGGAGCAAACAGG